This 460-nucleotide ribosomal RNA is filed under the name uncultured bacterium. RNAcentral describes it as "partial 16S ribosomal RNA". It matches the Rfam family "Bacterial small subunit ribosomal RNA", at positions 338 to 795 of the family's 1533-position model. The record is from RNAcentral.
CCUACUGGAGGCAGCAGUGAGGAAUAUUGGUCAAUGGACGCGAGUCUGAACCAGCCAAGUAGCGUUAAGGAUGACUGCCCUACGGGUUGUAAACUUCUUUUAUAAAGGAAUAAAGUGAGGCACGUGUGCCUUUUUGUAUGUACUUUAUGAAUAAGGAUCGGCUAACUCCCUGCCAGCAGCCUCGGUAAUACGGAGGAUCCGAGCGUUAUCCGGAUUUAUUGGGUUUAAAGGGAGCGUAGAUGGGUUGUUAAGUCAGUUGUGAAAGUUUGCGGCUCAACCGUAAAAUUGCAAUUGAUACUGGCAGUCUUGAGUACAGUUGAGGUAGGCGGAAUUCGUGGUGGAGCGGUGAAAUGCUUAGAUAUCACGAAGAACGCCGAUUGCGAAGGCAGCUUACUAAACUGCGACUGACAUUGAUGCUCGAAAGUGUGGGUAUCAAACAGGAUUAGAUACCCGGGUAGUC